Molecule: small RNA, 76 nt
Organism: Xanthomonas oryzae pv. oryzae
Lineage: Bacteria; Pseudomonadati; Pseudomonadota; Gammaproteobacteria; Lysobacterales; Lysobacteraceae
Rfam family: Xanthomonas sRNA sX9
Source: Rfam
AUGUACCACGCGUACACUGCGGUUCCCCCGCGCCGUCCACACCCGCCUGACGGCUGCUCGCUACGUUCUGUUAGCC